This 234-nucleotide ribosomal RNA is filed under the name uncultured bacterium. RNAcentral's name for it is "partial 16S ribosomal RNA". It matches the Rfam family "Bacterial small subunit ribosomal RNA", at positions 524 to 758 of the family's 1533-position model. The record is from RNAcentral.
UACGUAGGGGGCAAGCGUUGUCCGGAUUUAUUGGGCGUAAAGAGCGUGUAGGCGGCUGGGUAGGUCCGUUGUGAAAACUCGAGCUCAACCUCGAGACGCCGAUGGAAACCCUCCAGCUAGAGUCCGGAAGAGGAGAGUGGAAUUCCUGGUGUAGCGGUGAAAUGCGCAGAUAUCAGGAAGAACACCCGUGGCUAAGGCGGCUCUCUAGUACGGUACUGACGCUGAGACGCGAAA